RNAcentral lists this ribosomal RNA (64 nucleotides) under Cordyceps militaris. Its description in RNAcentral is "partial 25S ribosomal RNA". It matches the Rfam family "Eukaryotic large subunit ribosomal RNA", at positions 1 to 60 of the family's 3401-position model. Lineage: Eukaryota; Fungi; Ascomycota; Sordariomycetes; Hypocreales; Cordycipitaceae. The record is from RNAcentral.
ACGUUGACCUCGGAUCAGGUAGGAAUACCCGCUGAACUUAAGCAUAUCAAUAAGCGGAGGAAAA